GGGUUUUAAACUUGGCUUCCUCCAUCCCGCCCUCUCCUGCUCCUGGGCUCCUGCGCAUACUGUGCCGUCCCGGAGGAGGUGAGGCGUCUGUCCUUCAGGGAUCCCCCCAGACCUGGCAUGGAGAGCUUGGAGGAGUGCGGAGAGGACGCCGCGCUGGAGCCCUGCAGGACCCCCCAGGCCUCCGUGACAUUCAAGGAUGUGGCCGUGGACUUCACCUGGGAGGAGUGGAGACUCCUGGACCCUCCCCAGAAGGAGCUGUUCUGGGAGGUGAUGCUGGAGAACUACAGGAACCUGGUCUGCCUGGGCCUUGCUGAUUCAAACAAGGAUGUGAUGAUGUCUAAGCUGGAGUCAGGGGAACCACAUUGGAUUCCAACUGGUGGUGUCCUAAGAAGCUGGUGGCCAGGUUGGGAAUCCAGGCCUCAGAACAAGGAGUCAGCUCCCAAGAUGAGUAUUUCUAUGAAAGUCUUAUCCCAGGAAAAGUUCUUGGAGGAUGAUCUAAGAAUCUGCAAGAUGGCGAAAGCCUGGGAGUGUGAUGGCAGGUUGAAGAAAAAGGAGAGCAUGGAGGGGAAACCUUCUAGAGGAAUAAAAAUAAUUCAAGUAGAACCUCCCAAUGAGGCUGGAGGCUCUGAAUAUGGUAUAUACAGUCAGACCUCUAGCCCAGAGCCAGGCCUUUUUCCACAACAGGGAGCAUCUGUAGUUAUGCAGGGCCAGAAAGGAGAUAACCAGAGAGGGCGUUCCACCAUGUAUUUGAACCAAGGACAAAGAGAUCAAAUCCAUUCCAGGAAGAAACGUCGUAAGGUUAACAAAUGUCAGAAAGUGCUGGGUCCUGAUUUGGGCUGCAUAAAAAAACGUGGAAUUCUUUCUGAAGAGAAAGUUCAUGAAACGGGGAAUUCAUUCCCUCGUAUUAAUGAAUUUGGUCCACACCAGACAACCGAUAGGAGAAAAAAGUGUAAUGAGUUAACUAAAUGGAGGAAGACAGUUUGUGCUGAACUUUACUGUCAUCAUCAGAGUAGAGAGAGACGGUACAAAUGCAGUGAAUGUGGAAAGGCCUUCCAGAAAAAGGGGCAUCUUAAAGCACAUUACAGAAUCCAUACUGGAGAGAAACCUUUUAAAUGCAGUGAAUGUGGAAAGGCCUUCCCGCAAAAGGGGGAUCUUAAAAAACAUUACAGAAUCCAUACUGGAGAGAAACCUUUUAAAUGCAGUGAAUGUGGAAAGGCCUUCCCGCAAAAGGGGGAUCUUAAAAAACAUUACAGAAUCCAUACUGGAGAGAAACCUUUUAAAUGCAGUGAAUGUGGAAAGGCCUUCCCGCAAAAGGGGGCUCUUAAAACACAUUUCAGAAUUCAUACUGGAGAGAAACCUUUUAAAUGCAGUGAAUGUGGAAGGGCCUUCCAGCAAAAGGGGGAUCUUAAAAAACAUUACAGAAGUCAUACUGGAGAGAAACCUUUUAAAUGCAGUGAAUGUGGAAAGGCCUUCCAGCAAAAGGGGGUUCUUAAAACACAUUUCAGAAUUCAUACUGGAGAGAAACCUUUUAAAUGCAGUGAAUGUGGAAAGGCCUUCCAGCAAAAGGGGGUUCUUAAAACACAUUUCAGAAUUCAUACUGGAGAGAAACCUUUUAAAUGCAGUGAAUGUGGGAAAGCCUUUUCCAGGGCUGGAACACUAAAACGACAUCAGAGUACUCAUACUGGAGAGAAACCCUAUGAAUGCAGUGAAUGUGGGAAGGCCUUUUCCAGUAAGUCAUGUCUUACCCACCAUAGCAGGAUUCAUGCUGGAGAGUGUAAACCUUAAAAUUUCUUAGACUUAUAAAUGUUGGAAAUUUCACCAUUGGGAAAUUUCAUACUUGAAAAAUUUCCUAUUGAUACUGGGAACUCUAUUGGGAUGUGAACCCCAUUGGCAUGGGAGGGUCCUUCUCCUCCCUUCUUAAGAUUACUUUAGGACAGAAACCUUUUGCUGAGCAAUGGAAAGGGCUUUGACCUAUCCUUAAGCAUAGAACAGGAAUUUCUUUGAGUCAUGAUUGAUUUUAGAAUUGAUACAAUGGAGAUACUUGGAAUGACAGGACCAGGUCUUGGAAAUUGCAAUCUCCACCCUACUCAGUCCUAACAGGAUUUAGGAAGGGCUGCAGCAUAGAUCAAAAUUAUUCUAAUCUCUACCCUACUCAGGGUAAUAGGAUUUAGGAAGGGCUGUAGCAAAAGAUCAAGAUUUAAUUAUUUGAGAAUAUGACCUUCAACAGACAUGUGCAAAGCCACAGACCUCUGGGCGGUCCUGGGUUAAGCUAGAGCCACCAUUGGCAUAGGGAAAAUGAUGGACAGUGAUUGGUAGAUGUGAGAACUGAGGGGAGGGAACUUGGAUGGUUUCCUUAAAGAUAGAGGGGUCUGAGGACUGAGGGGGUUGGUUGGAGAGUUUUGGCUCUGAGUGGUUGGAGAGGUGCUCUGAGAAGCUUGCUCUGAAGGAAGCUGGAGGUGGAGGCCCUUCAGACUGUUUCUCCAUUUUGGUCACAUGAGUAAUAGGGACUGAUCUCCAUCCUUUGCCCCAGCUAUCUAAGGGCUUGGGCCUUUUGGCCCAGCCUAAACAGAAGGGGUAUUUAAGCCCUAUUCCCUUCUCUCCCCUUUCUCUCUCUCUCUCUCUCUCUCUCUCUCUCUCUCUCUCUCUCUAAUUCCUUUCUUCCUCCUGUUUGUAAUUAAACUCUAUAAAAGGUUGACAGCUGACUUGAGUUUUCAUUUAGGAAUUACAUAGCUGAAUUCCUUGGCAACCUUAAAUUAAUAUAUAUCAGUCUUUUAAAGUGAUUUCCUUGUCACAAGAGAAACCUUUUCAAUAUGAUAUUUGUGGAAAAGUACUUCUCUCUAAAUUUAACCUGAACCGUCAUCAGAAAACCCAUAUUGAAGAGAAACCUUUUUUGUGCAGUGUUUGUGGGAAAGGUUUUCCUGGGAAAAAAACUCUGACUGCACAUCAAAGAACUCAUGCUGGAAAGAGAACCUCUGAGUGCAGUGAAUGAGGAAAGAUCUUUCCUCGAAAGUCAUCUUACAUCUCACUCUACUAUUCAUAUUGGGGGAAAAAUCUUUUGAAUGAGAAGGCUUUGGGAAAGCCUUUCCCCAGAAAACAGCACUGACUCUCCCCAUCAGAAAACAUAUUCUUGGGGAGAAACAUUAUGAGUGCGAUGUAUGUGGAAAGGCUACACCCACAAUAAAAGUCUUUUCUUUCAUAAGAAAAUACAUUGGUAUGGGGCUGGAGCCCACCAGCUGUGUGGUUUAGUAGAUGGAGAGCCAGACGUAUUGUGUAAUUAGAAAUCUUCAAUUCUUGAACUUCAUCUCCCAGAAUUCUUUUUAAUUCAUCCAUGUUACAUCCUCACAUUUGGUAAAUAAGUUGUGUGUAACUCCACCCUUUCUCUUUCUUCUGAUGGCGCUCUGUGCUCUGAUGGCUAUGAGUGGGGUUGUGGGAAGCUUUCUUUCUUUAACUGAGAUUAUUUUCCUUAUUCUUCAAAUAUUUAUUAAUAAACUAUAUAAAACGUAAUACUUGAAGUAUUUGGAUAUUAAUAUUUAACCUUACUUAUUUGGCCUACCACUUUGGGAAACAAAUUCUCAGAAUUUCUUCUCAGCCUCUCAGGGAAGUCAGUAAGUUUGUCCAGCUGUGGGGUCUUGUCCCACCACAGGAGUUGGGAGAGGUUUGGAGGUCGGUCACUGCUUCUAUCUCCUGCUCGCUCACCCUGCUUGGCUUCCACUGCAGCUGCCGCUGUCCCAGCAGCCAUUCCUGCUCCUCCUCCUGAUGCUACUGUGGCUUAUUGUUGCUGUUACUGCUCCCUGAAGACAUAGCCAUUGUUCACUGCUCUGUACACACCUGGCACUGACCCUGUCUCUAGGGGAAAUGUCUGAGAAGAUUCUGCUGCAAAACUAGUGGCCAUAGAAGGGUCUGAAUUAAUUUUAACAUUCACAACCAUUGAUGACUUAAAUUUAUCACUUUCCUAUAAUGAAAAGGAAAUGGAAAAAUGGAAGCAAAAAUGUAAAGUAAAACAGAUUCGUGUAGUAUGGUUGUCAUCUGAAGGAAAACUCCAGCUCCCUAGAAGUUUUUAUCAACAAAUUUGAUGAUCGAUGCAUAAAAUGGCUAUUUUGGCACCCAGGGAAUUGUAGAUUCUGUUAAGAGUAUGGAAAGCCCCUGGUAUAACUACUAUAGCCUCUAAAGUGUGUACAGCCUGUUCUACCUGCCAAGCAUUUAACCAACACACCUUUUGUGGCAAACCUUUUGGUGGACAUCCUCACUUAUACACCAUUUCAGCAUUUACAAAUUGAUUUUAUCUCUAUGACAAAAGCUGAAGAGUAUAAAUGUGAAUUUUAGAUUUAAUCCACCCUGCUUAUACUAACAAAACAGGAAUGUCUACACCCCUACUUAAGAAUUAAAUGUUAAGCAAGCAAGAGCUAGAAAAAAAAUCAGAAAAUGUAAAAUCAAUAAUUUUGAUUACAUUAAAUUAAAAAGUUUUUGUACAAACAAAAUGCAUCCAAAAUUAGAAGGGAAGCAACAAAUUGGAAAACAAUCUUCAUUACAAAAACGUCUGACAAAGGUCUAAUUACUCAAAUUUAUAAAGAGCUAAACCAAUUGUACAAAAAAAUCAAGCCAUUCUCCAAUUGAUAAAUGAGCAAGGGACAUGAAUAGGCAAUUUUCAGUUAAAGAACUCAAAACAAUAAGCACAUGAAAAAGUGUUCUAAAUCUCUUAUAAUCAGAGAGAUGCAAAUCAAAACAACACUGAGGUAUCACCCCACACUUAAGCAGAAUGGCCAACAUAACAACAAAGGAAUGUAAUAAAUGUUGAAGGGGAUGCGGCAAAAUUGGGACACUAAUUCAUUGCUGGUGGAGUUGUGAAUUGAUCCAACCAUUCUGGAGGCCAAUUUGGAGCUAUGUCCAAAGGAGGAUAAAAGACUGUCUGCCCUUUGAUCCAGCCAUAGCACUGCUGGGUUUGUACCCCAAAGAGAUAAUAAGGAAAAAGACAUGUACAAAAAUAUUUAUAGCUGUGCUCUUUGUGGUGGCAAAAAAUUGGAAAAUGAGGUUAUGCCCUUCAACUGGGGAAUGAUUGAACAAAUUGUGUUAUAUGUUGGUGAUGGAAUACUAUUGUGCUCAAAGGAAUAAUAAAGUGGAGGAAAUCCAUGGGCACUGAAACAACUUCCAGGAAUUGAUGCAAAGUCUCUCUCAGAGAGACACGGCUCUCGCUCUGUCUCCCACUAGUGGAGAUGUUGGUCUCUGUCAGCAACUUGGGGGGUGUUGGGUAGCGUUUAGCAUCUUGGGUCUUGGUGUGGGUGUGCUAGGUGAGUAGUUUAGACUGAUUCCUUUUUCCUUUACCUUCCAAAACACUAUCCUCUUAGGAAGCCCCUAAUCUUCUGAGGAGGCCUUGUGGUGGAGGUCUUUGAACUCCCCUUGGCACAGGCUAGACCGGAGAAAUUUUAUACCUUUUCCCCUCUUUCUUCUUAAUUCCUUCCCUCUAUAUUAAUUAAACCACUCAAAAAUUCAAAACUGACUUGAGUAUUUUUAUUGGGAUUUGAAUUAAUCCCUGGUGGCCAACUAAAUUUAUAUUUCAGUCAAAAACCCCUAAAUUUACCUCAUAUAAAUUUUGUCUGGUCAUAGUCAAUCAGCUGACUUAGUGACCUGAAGCAUUUCCUACUGUUCAGGACACAGUGACUUUUGUCGCCAAAGUACUUUUGAAAGAAAUUAUUCCUUGUUUUGUCCUGCCAGCAUGUAUUGAUUUGGAUAGGGGAACUCAUUUUACUGAGUCAAUCUUACUGCAAAUUUAUUCAUGUUUGGGGAUAACUCCUAAAUUUCAUAUACCAUAUCAUUCCCAGAGCUCUGACUAAGUUGAAAGAAUGAAUAAAGAACUUAAAACUAUGAUUGGCAAAUUGUGCACAGAGACUCAUUUAAAAUGGCCAGAAUUUAUGAGAAAGAAUACUAUACACAUUCAGAGGAAGAACUGUGGGAAUAGAAACUAUAAAAAUAAAAUUUGGUGAGUUAUAAAAUAAAAGAUUUAGAUGGAAAAACUGUUCCAAUAUAGAUUGAAGACUGUUUAACUCGCCAAGCAGGUUCAAACUGUUUGGAUACUUUUAAUAGAGAUAAUCAAAAGAAUCUUCAGUGAUAAAGUGAAGCUCAAAUAUGAAUUUCCCUUCAGGUCCAGGUUCAAGGACGCUCAAGAGACUCUUAUUAUAAACAUAAAAUGCUUAUUGAAAUAUAUAAGGAUAAAUAAAGGGUUUCUAAUUCUAAGGGAUUCUAAAUCCACCCAAAUAAACUCCCAGGUUCCAUAAGCAACUGCUUCUCCUGUGUUUCACUAGCUACACUAAUCUUCCAUGAUCUGACAAACCCAAAUUUAUGCUAUCUACAUAAAAACUACCACUAUUAUACUUAUAAAUCUUAACUUUGCCUUCAGAUUACAAAAUAGCAAAGGCUGCUGGUUGAGUCUCAACAAGAAUCAAGUUAGGACUCUAGGUGAAUGUGAAAGCCCCUUGCUAUGGGAGGAUCUCUACCCCAUCCCUACUUGGGACUGCUUUAGGGGAGAAAACUCCUUGCUAUGGGAGGACCUCUAUUCCACACGAACUUAAGAAUGCUUUAGGGCAGAAAACUCCUUGCUAAACAAUGAAAGUACUUGAAAACCAUACUCAUAAAGGAAAGGAGUUCUUUGAGCCAUGCCUAUUUUUGGAAUUGAUACAAUGGGAUGCUAAGUGCCUAUAAAGGUGGGGCAACUUGUAAACUACUUAGACCUAAAAGGUGAAAACUCACUCAGAGGUUUCCUCUUAAUGAAAUUAGUGGACACAGCAGCAUUUUUUUUGACUUACUAAAGAGAUUAAUCUACUCAGCUGUGAAUUCAAAAUGGGCUGUCUUUUGGAAAACAUCUACAGUGAUUGGUAGAUGGAAGAACUUAGGGGAGGUGACAUAGGAGAUUUUGCCCUUAAAAAUAAGAGCUCGCCAGAAGAGCUAAAAGUCAUUCUGAAACAUUGAGAUUGAGGAGAUCAUUCUGAAACAUUCAGAUUGAGGGGGAGUCAUUCUGAAACAUUCAGAUGGAGGAAGGACUGAUUCUGAAACAUUCAGAUGGAGGAGGGAGCUGGUGAAAGCAGCUGAGAUGAUGCUGGCUUGGUGUCACUAGAUUCCUUGCUUAGGCUGACCUUGUGGUGAGUGUUAAAAGACUGACUGACUGAUCUCUCACUGUCUUAAGACUCAGGUCUAGGCCAUGUUGGCUUAAAGCCCUUCAUACUUAUUUCCUUUUUCUCUUUUCUUUAAUUCCACAUUUAUAUUAAUUAAAAUCUCUAUAAAACCCAGUUGACUUGGGUAUUUGAAUAAUUGGGAAUAUUUCCCUGGCAACCACCUUAUAUUUGAUUUUAAAUCCAAGACACUGUAGUGAAAAAUAUUUUCUGCGGCCAAAUUUUCUCACCCUCUCUUAUAUCUAUCACAAUUUAUAUCUUCCACCAUUUUAACUCACUACAGUAUAUGGGCUUCACUAUCUUAAAUCUCACAAGACUGAGGCUUUGAACCCCUCCUUUUCUACCCCUCCUGCUGUAGCUGAAUGUUCUUCCAAAAUCUACUGAUGCAAGCAUUCUCUGGAAAUCCCGGUUAGGUGGUUACAUAUUGUGGUUUAUCUGCCUAUAGAAUACUGUCUAGAUUCAAUGAGGUUAACCAAACCCUUUGUACCAAACUUGUAAAUCAUUACCUUUUGUAAAAAAUGGACUCGAAUAGAGGACUACAAUCCCCACAAGCCUUUGCUCCACUUUCCCAAAAUGUUUUGUAAUCUCAGGGGAAUUCUGAGGUGGGCCGAGAUCGAGGAAGGAUUUAAGCUGGUGGCAAAGGUUUUUGGUUCUUCUUUUGGACUUCUGUUUUGGAGCAGAUGCAUCUCUUCCGUGAUGUGAGGUUAUCUGGCCUAGGCACGUGUUUUUUCUUACUUGUAUAUUCUUUAAUCCUUAAUCCUUAAUAAACCUUUAAAAAAUAUGAUACUCCUUGCAGAGAGAAACUAAUUUCAGAUGCCUCAGUCUCCCCAUAUUCCUAAAUUUUAACUGUUACAGAUGGCAACUACUAGAUUGGAUGAGAACUUCUCAAAUUUUUUACCCUAGAGAAUUUUUUUUAAGCCAUGUAUCUCCAAGAUGCCUCUUAGAAAACCGUCUUGAUCAGCUCCUGCCUGGAGCCCUCUCCGGCUCCUGCUUCUGCUCCUGGCCUCUCACCUGGUGCCUGAGCUCCCGGACCUGUUUGUCUGCAUGCCGGCUCCAGGCCCUACCCAACCUGGCCGUCUGUCUCUCACCCAUCUGACCUCCGACCCAGCUGGCUCAUCACCCAGAUCCUUGGAGCAGAUUGCUGAGGACUCAUUUCGACCAGCUGAUAACAGUAUUGGCCACAUGGGUGGAGGGGAGAGAGGAGAGGGAAAGGAGAAAGGGUAAUUUUCCCUUAGGCUAAGCCUCUACGUGGAUGUGGGUAUUGGCCACAGGGGGAUCAUAUCAGGGGAGAGAGAAAAGGGAGAGGAGAAGAAACAGAUUUUUCAAACAGAAACUUAAUGGCAAUGGGCUGUUUAAAAGGAUACCUUUUGACUGUUCUGGUAAUUUCAUUGAUUUCACCUGCAUGCCAGAAGAAAGAUUCAGCCCAAAGAUUCAACUUUGAAUUUGCAAAUGGGUGGCUCAGGGCACUGAGAGCAUGGUUCUGGGUUAAAAUCUGGCCUCAGAUACUUCCCAGCUAUGGGGUCCUGGUCGGGUCCCUUGAAACCCAUUGCCUAGCUCUUACUACUCUGCCUUUGGACAAUAGACAUUUAAAUGGGUAAACACACUUAAGGAACUUUGAAGAGACUAAAGGCUAUAUUCUAAGGCAUUUCAGACUCCAAUGGUUUAUAAAAAUUUCUGUAUUCUAUUGCAUUUUUUGUUAUGGUUUAACUUUGUGAUUUUAAGUUCAUAUAUUACUGGAUUCAAUAUUAUUCUGCUUGAACUGAAGAUUGAUUGAAUUUAUUUUGAAUGUACUGAGUUUUAAAAAUUCUGUUGUUUUUCCCCUAUAACUAUUGAACAAAUAUUAUUGUGAAUAAGCCCAUAUAUGAAAAAAUAGCCUUUUUCUAUUUUGCUGAGGAUAGAUGGACUUCAGAACUGGUUAUAAUUGUAUUAACAACCUUGGAAAAUUUAAUGUGCUAAAUACCUCAAAUUAUUUGAUUUUAAGGGUUUUUUAAAUAUUAUUUUUGGAAAUUUUUUUUAACCAUCUGGUUAUUUUUGCCUGCCCCUACCAUGAGGUAAGGCCAAUUGUAGCUGAAGUGAAAUUCAUUUUAUAACCCCCAACCUUCCCAAAUGUGAAUGGAAGUUGGGCAGUUAAUCUCAGGGCAUUUGUAUCCCUAAAAGCCUCCAAAAAAGGAGCACCCCUUUAUUUAUGCUCUUCAGCUCACUAUUUAACUUCCACCAGAAUGAUAUAUAGAUUUCUUGAUUAUGUUCUUAACCCAAGAUGAGUUUUACUUUGUUUAAAAAUGUUUAUUACCAAGGUUGAAGGAUUGCUAUGUUUGUAAAAAUUGUGACAAAUGUCCAUCAAUUCAUAAGCUUUAAAAAUGUCAUACAGGAACUUAUGUGAAAUAUGAAAGUGUGUUUGUUUGCUAUUGUAAUUAAUUGGGCUAUUGAGAAUUUUGGGGAUUUUGAUACCUACAUAUCUGUACUACUGUAUUUUUAAAGAUGAAAAAAUUGUUAACCUUGUUCAAUUCAUUUGCCUUCUACUCACAGUGAUCAUGGCCAGAUAUUAAGAGGAAAAGGAUCUCAUUUUUGGUGAGAAAGUCUUGCAUUUUAUAUUUUUGUAGCUGACACAGUGUGUCAAUGAUUAUAAGCUAUAUUUUUUAAUUUUUAAAGCUCUUUUAUUAUUAUAUUUUUCUUGCAUGUGCAAUAUACUUUUUCAGGUUUUUUAUUAUUUUUUUCUCCUUUUUAUAUUUGAAGCACGUCACCAGCAUUAAGAUUUUCUUUAACUUUUUGACUUUUCAGUGCUACAAGUUUGAAAUACAUUUGCUAAUGCAUGCCCUAAAAAGCUUGUGAGUAUAAAAAUGAUGCCACUAAUUAUUUAAAAGUUAUGGGACUUUGCUUAAUGAUUCUGUCUGAUUCCAGGACAAGAUAUACACAAAAGAGCCACUGCAUAGUGCCAAUAGAGCAUAAGGUCAAAGAGACCAACCAAUCCUGGUGAAAUUGAUGUCACUUUGAGCCUAGACAAAGAGGACUUGAACGUGUUUGUGGUUCGAGGUUGCGGCUGUUUAACAUGUGUUAAAAGCAGGUCUUCCUUGUUCCACAUUCUACCAAGUACCUCAAACUUGGCUCCCGGAACCUUGGCUUAUAUACUCUGGUCCCCUUUCUGCCUCUCAUAGUGUGGUAACUUUCUGUAGUCCUGGCUACUGACUGGAUAAAUGCAUCAUUGCUUAGAUCAUUUUGAUUGGGCCCUGAUUGAAGGACCUUUAUAGAUUUAUUUUUCUUUUACUUGGAAUUUUUACACAUAAGACUUUGAUAGUCUAUAUUUUCAUCCAGAAAUUUUUCUUUUCCUUUUGAUUUUUCUGAUUUUUUUUUAAUAUCUCUUGCCAAUUGAUUCAUAUACCUCAUACCUCAGCCAUGUAUCCCUAAGUGAUCCUUUUUUUUUUUUAAUUGCCCUCUUAAUGGGGGGGGGGGGAAUGUAAAAAAUAUUAUUAUUUAAAUUGCAAAGUUUAAAUUCCUUUUGAGAAGAAUUUUAGGUAAAUAAAGAUGCUACCUCUCUGAAUCCAGAACUGAACUGUUGGAGAAGCCACCAUGAAGAAGCCUCCAGACCACAAGUUGCACAAAAUUGAACUUUGGGUGUGGUUGAUUGAACAUUUAUUUGUAUCUGUACUUUCAUGCCAAAGGGGACUGCCCCCUAACUGGCUUUUUGUCAAUGCGUUCAGCAAUUAUUGGGUUUGUUUGUUUGUUUUUCUCUUAUCCUCAAAUUAUUUUAAUCUUUAAAUUGAUUAUGUUUUCAUGAUCCUUUGGAAAAAAAAUUAAUUUUUUUUGCAAACCAUCAAACGGAGAAAUGUAAAAAAUAGACUCUAAUACAGGACUACAAUCCCCACAAGCCUUUGCUCCACUUCCCCAAAAUGCUUUGUAAUCUCACGGGAAUUCUGAGGUGGGCCGAGAUCGAGGAAGGAUUUAAGCUAGUGGCAAAGGUUUUUGGGGGGGUCUUUUGGACUUCCGUUUUGAAGCAGGCUUGUCUCUUGCGUGAUGUGAGGUUAUUUUGUCUAGAUCUCUGGCCUAGGCACAUGUUUCUUACUUGUAUAUUCUUUAAUCUUUAACCUUUAAUAAACCUCUAAAAAAUAUAAAA
Non-coding RNA from Monodelphis domestica (gray short-tailed opossum), 11268 nucleotides. NCBI's taxonomy places the organism in Eukaryota, Metazoa, Chordata, Mammalia, Didelphimorphia, Didelphidae. The record is from RefSeq and is a predicted model, not a curated record.